Molecule: ribosomal RNA, 491 nt
Filed under: uncultured bacterium
Lineage: Bacteria
Description: partial 16S ribosomal RNA
Rfam family: Bacterial small subunit ribosomal RNA
Source: RNAcentral
AUGAACGCUAGCUACAGGCUUAACCCCUGCAAGUCGAGGGGCAGCGGUAUCGAAAGCUUGCUUUCGGUAGCCGGCGACCGGCGCACGGGUGAGUAACGCGUAUCGAACCUGCCUCAUACUCGGGAAUAGCCUUGCGAAAGUAAGAUUAAUGCCCGGUGUUUUCAGAGUCCCGCCUGAGGCUUUGAACAAAGAUUUAUCGGUAUGAGAUGGCGAUGCGUCCCAUUAGCUUGUUGGCGGGGUAACGGCCCACCAAGGCAUCGAUGGGUAGGGGUUCUGAGAGGAAGGUCCCCCACAUUGGAACUGAGACACGGUCCAAACUCCUACGGGAGGCAGCAGUGAGGAAUAGUGGGCAAUGGGCGGAAGCCUGAACCAGCCAAGUAGCGUGCAGGAAGACGGCCCUCCGGGUUGUAAACUGCUUUUAGUUGGGAAUAAAACGGGGCUCGUGAGCCCCCUUGCAUGUACCAUCAGAAAAAGGACCGGCUAAUUCCGUG